GACGAACGCUGGCGGCGUGCUUAACACAUGCAAGUCGAACGGAAAGGCCCUGCUUUUGUGGGGUGCUCGAGUGGCGAACGGGUGAGUAACACGUGAGUAACCUGCCCUUGACUUUGGGAUAACUUCAGGAAACUGGGGCUAAUACCGGAUAGGAGCUCCUGCUGCAUGGUGGGGGUUGGAAAGUUUCGGCGGUUGGGGAUGGACGCGCGGCUUAUCAGCUUGUUGGUGGGGUAGUGGCUUACCAAGGCUUUGACGGGUAGCCGGCAUGAGAGGGUGACCGGCCACAUUGGGACUGAGAUACGGCCCAGACUCCUACGGGAGGCAGCAGUGGGGAAUAUUGCACAAUGGGCGGAAGCCUGAGGCAGCAACGCCGCGUGCGGGAUGACGGCCUUCGGGUUGUAAACCGCUUUCGCCUGUGACGAAGCGGGAGUGACGGUAAUGGGUAAAGAAGCACCGGCUAACUACGUG
This 468-nucleotide ribosomal RNA is filed under the name uncultured bacterium. Its description in RNAcentral is "partial 16S ribosomal RNA". It matches the Rfam family "Bacterial small subunit ribosomal RNA", at positions 28 to 507 of the family's 1533-position model. The record is from RNAcentral.